GGAAUAUUGGUCAAUGGAUGCAAGUCUGAACCAGCCAUGCCGCGUGCAGGAAGAAGGCCUUCUGGGUUGUAAACUGCUUUUGCCAGGGGAUAACAUGACCUUGCGAGGUUAAUUGAAGGUACCUGGUGAAUAAGCCACGGCUAACUACGUGCCAGCAGCCGCGGUAAUACGUAGGUGGCGAGCGUUGUCCGGAUUUAUUGGGUUUAAAGGGUGCGUAGGCGGCCCUCUAAGUCAGUGCUGAAAUAUCCCGGCUUAACCGGGAGGGUGGCAUUGAUACUGGAGGGCUUGAAUGAAGUUGAAGUGGGCGGAAUUGACGGUGUAGCGGUGAAAUGCUUAGAUAUCGUCAAGAACACCGAUAGUGAAGACAGCUCACUAAGCUUCUAUUGACGCUGAGGCACGAAAGUGUGGGGAUCAAAC
This 417-nucleotide ribosomal RNA is filed under the name uncultured bacterium. Its description in RNAcentral is "bacterial SSU rRNA". It matches the Rfam family "Bacterial small subunit ribosomal RNA", at positions 358 to 773 of the family's 1533-position model. The record is from RNAcentral.